This 216-nucleotide ribosomal RNA is filed under the name uncultured Candidatus Saccharibacteria bacterium. RNAcentral's name for it is "partial 16S ribosomal RNA". It matches the Rfam family "Bacterial small subunit ribosomal RNA", at positions 305 to 536 of the family's 1533-position model. Lineage: Bacteria; Candidatus Saccharimonadota. The record is from RNAcentral.
GAUCCAGACUGGAACUGAGACACGGUCCAGACUCCUACGGGAGGCAGCAGUCAGGAAUCUUCCACAAUGGGGGCAACCCUGAUGGAGCAACGCCGCAUGCAGGAUGAAGGCCUUCGGGUCGUAAACUGCUUUUAUUAGUGAAGACUAAGACGGUAACUAAUGAAUAAGGAUCGGCUAACUACGUGCCAGCAGCCGCGGUCAUACGUAGGAUCGAUC